Molecule: long non-coding RNA, 212 nt
Filed under: Elaeis guineensis (African oil palm)
Lineage: Eukaryota; Viridiplantae; Streptophyta; Magnoliopsida; Arecales; Arecaceae
Description: long non-coding RNA (EGUI_LNC059999)
Source: RNAcentral
GGGAUAUUACAUUUACCUGCUUACUGAACAAAAGGUGUUUGUUAGCAGUAAGGCAUAUUUUUUGAAAAAAGAAUUUCUUAAUGAAGGAAUAAGUACCUUUAAAAUUGAGCUUAACGAAGUUUGACAGGUAGAAGAACUGAUACCAAUGAUUGAAUCUGAAUCAGAUUUGAUGAGAUCAACCCUGGAGCCCAAUGAACAAACAUCUUUAAGGC